UUCCCUUAUCAACAAUCUCAACAACAAUCCUCUUGAUUGUAGGUAGAUAUUGAUCCUUAUAGAGUACAUCUCAAGUGCAGAAUAUGAUUAGCAAUGUGUAAGAACAGCUAUCUUGCAAAAAUCUUGAUGAAUUUCCUUCCAAAUGAAUAAUUUUGAUUCUCCAAGAAGUCUAGGAUGCUCCUGCAAUCAAUACUUAGUAAACAAGUCAAUUAUGAAUGUGUAAGAUCAUUAAUUCUUAUUAAGCAGCGCAUAAUGCGUCUAUUUAUAGAGUUAUCUCGCGCUGACGCAAUGUAAUCGAUUAAGCACAUAAUAUAAUCUGUUAAGUUUUUCCUUCUGCUUUA
Molecule: long non-coding RNA, 341 nt
Filed under: Vigna radiata
Lineage: Eukaryota; Viridiplantae; Streptophyta; Magnoliopsida; Fabales; Fabaceae
Description: long non-coding RNA (VRAD_LNC011880)
Source: RNAcentral